GACGAACGCUGGCGGCGUGCCUAAUACAUGCAAGUAGAACGCUGAAGGAGGAGCUUUCUCUUCCGGAUGAGUUGCGAACGGGUGAGUAACGCGUAGGGAACCUGCCUGGUAGCGGGGGAUAACUAUUGGAAACGAUAGCUAAUACCGCAUAAGAGUAGAUGUUGCAUGACAUUUACUUAAAAGGUGCAAUUUCAUCACUACCAGUUGGACCUGCGUUGUAUUAGCUAGUUGGUGGGGUAACGGCUUACCAAGGCGACGAUACAUAGCCGACCUGGGAGGGGGGACGGGCACACUGGGACUGGGACACGGCCCAGACUCCUACGGGGAGCAGCAGGAGGGAAUCUUCGGCAAUGGACGGAAGGCUGACCGGGCAACGCCGCGUGAGUGAAGAAGGGUUUCGGAUCGUAAAGCUCUGUUGUAAGGGGAGAACGAGUGUGGGAGUGGAAAGUUCACACUGUGACGGUAUCUUACCAGAAAGGGACGGCUAACUACGUG
Molecule: ribosomal RNA, 495 nt
Filed under: uncultured bacterium
Lineage: Bacteria
Description: partial 16S ribosomal RNA
Rfam family: Bacterial small subunit ribosomal RNA
Source: RNAcentral